GAUGAACGCUGGCGGCGUGCCUAAUACAUGCAAGUCGAGCGAACAGACGCGGAGCUUGCUCCUCUGACGUUAGCGGCGGACGGGUGAGUAACACGUGGAUAACCUACCUAUAAGACUUGAAUAACUUCGAGAAACCGGAGCUAAUACCGGAUAACAUGUUUAACCUCAUGGUUCAACAGUGAAAGACGUUUUUUCUGUCACUUAUUGAUGGAUCCGCGCCUCAUUAGCUAGUUGGUAAGGUAACGGCUUACCAAGGCAACGAUGCGUAGCCGACAUGAGAGGGGGAUGGGCCACACGGGAAAUGAGACAAGGUCCAGACUCCUACGGGAGGCAGCAGUAGGGAAUCUUCAGCAAUGGGCGAAAGCCUGACGGAGCAACGCCGCGUGAGUGAAGAAGGUCUUAGGAUCGUAAAACUCUGUUAUUAGGGAAGAACAAAUGUGUAAGUAACUAUGCACGUCGUGACGGUACCUAAUCAGAAAGCCACGGCUAACUACGUG
Molecule: ribosomal RNA, 497 nt
Filed under: uncultured bacterium
Lineage: Bacteria
Description: partial 16S ribosomal RNA
Rfam family: Bacterial small subunit ribosomal RNA
Source: RNAcentral